Molecule: long non-coding RNA, 4676 nt
Organism: Apis mellifera (honey bee)
Lineage: Eukaryota; Metazoa; Arthropoda; Insecta; Hymenoptera; Apidae
Exons: 6
Source: RefSeq, a predicted model, not a curated record
UCACCAUGUGCAACAUGUCACUGCACUAGUAGAAUCUUGUCGAUUUUCUCCCUGUGAAUUUUCAUCGGUUAUACGAAAUCGUAGUCCGUAGAAUGGGCAUUGCAAUCAAUUCCGGUUGAACGUUUCAUGGAUCAUUGUUCCAUUUCGCAACGAGUACGUUUGUCCAUGCGGUUACAUGCAUUGUUGUUACAUUUCUGCCAAUAGAAGAAGCCUGUUUUCAUGAAGUAGAUAUCGAAUACGCACAAAACAAUAUGGUGACAAUGUGGUGAAAUAAAUACUGGCAAAACGCGCAAUUAAAAUGUAUAAUGAAACGUUAAAUUGCGUGAGAAUUGCAGUUCUAGUAAAUGAGCUACAUCGUUUCAUCGAUCGUUUACAAUUCUUUGUAGAAAGCAGAAGAAUCAUAAAAGGAGUGGCCAGAAUUUUCUUGGUUGAUAAAAUAGGAAAAUAUUACAAAUUCUUUCAAUCGCGAGAGAGACGAGAGAAACGGCUGAGAAACGCGAAGAAAUGAAAAGAAUAAUCGUGCGAAAGAACGUCAGAGAAAUAAUACGUGAUUAAAAUGGCGGAGAGAAUAUUACGCGGUUGGAUAACGUAUGAUGACAAGAUGGUGCAAAGGAUAAAAUUGUCAAAAAAAGAAAAAGAAACGAAGAAUAAAAGAUUCAUUUCAAAGAAAAGAGAAGAAGAUAAUCCAAACACGUUGGAACAUACACGCGCCAGUCAAGAAUAUGAAGAAUAUAAAUAAGAGAUAUAAAUAAUCAAGUAUCAGCGAGUCGCGUAUAACUUUAUUUCAUUCCUUUCUUCUUUAUCUCGUAUUGACUCUCGUAUUGUGAAUUGGAUAUAGAAUUAGGUCAGUUAUACAAAGGACGAGCGCAAAUAUAUUUUUUACCCAUCGGUUUCCAAUAUUAUACGAAUCAAUUUAAAGCUAAAAUAAUCGUCCCUUCAUCAUCCAUAUGAUUACCAUGCUCAUCUCAUCCUUAUCAACAUACCUCGCUCGCUUCUUUUUUCCUGUCGGAUAGUCGUUCGUACAGGAAUUGCUUGUUAUUCCAACAACAAAAGUGAUUCGACCGGAUUAUUACAAGAAAGUGUAGCAAAUGCUUAUAAUUCGAUGAAAUGCAUCGAAUAACUCGGGAUUACAUUGUGGUUGGACAGAGAUCAUCGAGGAGAGGACGAAGCCACGUAGUGGACGAGAGAAGGAACGAGGUCGCGACGCGUUGGCGAGAAGAAAACAGCUGGAUCGCCAUUCGUUUUCGCGGUUAUUGUAGCAGACCCGGUUCGCAAUAUACAUACACUUUGUUAUCGAUGUGUGUAUACGUGUAAGCGUGUACCUACGAAUUCCUUCCGGAGCCAUGCUCGUUCCACUAAAUACGCGAGAUCCAAUUUGGACGAGUCCCAAAAUUCGAAGAAAUAGUAGCACGCGUAUAUGACCGUAUAUAUAUAUAACGUGUACAUGUGCAUACAGAGUGGUGUCUCUAUUCAAUAUCGAGUUAACCUUAAAAAUAAGAUUUUAAAAAAAAUAUCUCGUAUUAAAGGAUUUUAAAUUUGAAGAUUAUUGAAUUAAAUGAAUUUUAUAAUCUUUAAAUAAAUAAUAAUUUAUGUAUAAUAUGAGAUAAGUAAGAAGAUUACUCUGGUAGAUAUGCACAAGCACGUGGAAUUUUAUGUACAUUCGAGGCAUUCAAUUUGAACCAAAAACUUUCCAGCAAAUGUUAUUGGUACCUUCGACUUCAUCCUCUAUUACUUCUAUAGUUCUACUUUGUAAUUGCCUUUGAUGAGAUUUGCCUCCCGUGAAAUCUCUUUUUCGAGACAAAGCAUUCGUUCUCGAACUCAUUAGAUCCAAUACAAAGACGAGAUUAUUGUAUCUAACAAGUGUAAAUGUUUCUGUUAAUCGUCCUCUAACUGGAAAUUCACUAUUCAACCUGGUAUUUCAAUUAUUUUACCGAUAAGACGAUCCCGUAAGAGUAGAAUGUAUCUCUUUUCAACUCGAUCCAGGUCUCGACUAAAACCAGAUACAUAGGCAAGCAACAAGAGUCAACUCGUGAAACUACACAAGACGUUAAACUCGAGGAAGAUGAAAGUACGAAGUCUGCUUGUGACGCGAGUUAACUUCGAACGCUCGAAACGACGAGAUUUCAACUCGGUCGGUUGAUGACAGCUUUGUUACCGACUGUACCAUACCGGUUCCAUCGUACACGUGCAAAAACAUUCGGUACUUGCCUCCUUGCGAAGAAUGAUACGAAACAGUUACAAGAUGAAGGAAAUAAAAGAUUCGAGGAAAAACUGGGAAAGAAAUAAUCUAACCAAAUAUUCCAAUAUAACGUGAGAACAAACAUAAGUGGAAUAACUUGGAAGUUAAGAUAAACAGAAUUUAUAAUGGAAAUUUCUUUUCAUAAUCGGUUCAAGUUUUACGAAACUCCCUACGUAUUUUAAUUCUUGAUCCUGGAACGGGUUAUGGUUAACCCGGUUGCUGUUGAAUUAACCAGAAAAUAAGACGAAACAUCGAAAUUUCGCAAGUUUUUAAAUUAUAAUUCUUAUUGAGUAGUGUGUAGCAAUUAACGUUUCUAUUCUUCUAAUAUUUCUUUUUCAAUUAAAUUAUCUUUAAUAUUCUUUAAUUAUUUUUUUUAAAAUAGAAGAAAAAAAUAGAAACAACUAAAAUUAACUUUUUAUUUAUCUUUUAAAUAUUGUAUAUAAUAAUGAAUUGUACAAAUUAAAAUGAAUUUGAAGUCGAAAUACAAACUUAAAUGGAUUAUUAAAUAAAAAUAAGUUAAUACUUAUUCUCAAAAAGCAUUCUGGUUUCUAUGCUUCGAAUAUUUCUAAAAAACAAGAUUAGAGGAGAAGUGAUGAACAAUGGAAACAAUGAACAAACAAUUAUUUCCAAAAUGAAUUGAGAAAGAGUUAAAAUUCUCAGUUCAGCAGACCACUGGAAAUUAGCUAACUUUUCCCACGGUUUCUCUUCAGGAUAAACUAAUUUCGAGCACCAGAAACGAAUCGCUGUUCAUCAUAAUGCGAACUCUGCGACAUUCACCAGUCGAAACACGAAUCCGGACGGUCUGUCCAGCUGUUUAACGGUGCAUACAAGCAUACCAGCAUACCAAGCUAUUUGCCCGUGAAACAUUAUUUUCCACCAAUGAUGAACACAGAAAUUGGAACUGGAAGAGAAUCCUCAGAAACAUCUACAAUGGUUUAGAUAGUCGCCAGAAACGAUUUUGGAGAAAGUGACCACUAGUGACCACUAGACUAGCCACAAAGUCCACAUGCUGUCGACAAGAAGUAGUCGGACUCAAGGGACAAUUGGUGGCGUAAGCCAACUUCCAAAACUUCAAUACUCGUAAAAACGGAAAACGUAGAAACAAAAUUCAACUUUUGGGAAAAAUACAGAUUAUUUCGAGAAUGAUGCGAGCAACAUUUAGAUUAAAAUGUGGAUUUUAAAUGGAUACACAUGAAAUAUAGGAAAUUUUAGUAAAAGAAUUAAUAAUAAUUCACAUGGUACAUAUUGAUUUUAUAAAUCAGAAGUAUAGAUUGAUUUUAUAGAUUACACUAAAAUGUGGUUAAAAAUUGAUUCAAGUGGAAACAUUGAAGGAUAUCGUCAAAGGAAUACAAUACAAAUGAUCAAAAUUUAAAUGUUUAAAAAUUAAGCUUUAAUUUCAUUCAAUAUUACAUAUUGAAAACAAAUGAAAUAUUAUACCUGGCUUUAGCAUUAUUUACAAUAUUUUUUACAUUAUUCAUUUAAUUAAUUCAUUUAUUGAAAAGUACAUUAAAAAUAUCUUAACCUUGAUUCGAUACAUGUUAAAAACAAACAAAAACUCUAUACAUUGUAAUACAUCACAGAAAUCACAGGUUAUUUUUCUAUUAAAUAAUAAUUGUUUAUUUGUAAUUUGAUUCGUAACUUUUCCGAUUAAAUCUUUUAAAAUAUUGCUUAAUAUAAUAACACAAAUGCAAAGAAUACGUUAUACAAAAAAAAGAAUGUAGUGAUUCACCAAGUUUAAGCAGCCUUCUUGAAUGAAUAAUAAAUGAGCGAGGGAAAAAUGUUAAUGACCCAAACUCGAUUCUCCUGUUAAACUCAAGAGAAUCCAUUAGUAAUUGUAACAAUUCUAAAUUCUAAAGAAAGAAAGAAGAUGUUACUGAAUAAAAUAAAACACAAAGAAACAAAGAAGAGGAAUCCGAUAAAUCACUAAUUCUUUGAUGUUUAAAAAAUUCAAUGAAGUAGUAUCUCAAGGUUAUCCGGCCUUUAAUCUAUCAGAUAAGAGAAAAAUCCGAGAUGAUCGGUAUCCAGAUAAACGAGUACCCACGUUGGAGAAUUACUAAAGUCAUUUUCUCAAUUUAAUAACGCCAUAAGUUCAGGGUAAAAGUGUGUAUAACGAUCUGUGUAAUAUCAUUGAAAUUGUUAAGAGACACUUCGGCCUUCCGUUUAAAACCGUUCAUCCUCGUCCAAGAUUAAAGCACCACCCUCCACCCUCUAUAAAUUCUUAAAUGAAAACGCUGGCUCCCGUUAUCGUGCAAUAAGCGCGACAUUAUUUUUUUUCUUUUUUUUUAACUUGGUUAAUUGAAACAUUGAAAUGAUACAAAUUGUAAAAAAGUCACUAUUUUUUAAUUAUCUCUCCUUACGUUAAAUAAAAUUUGUUUGUUUAUUAACGUUAAGUCUGAAAUCAAGUAUUUGUGAAUAAAAUAACAAUCAUAAAUUAAAA